UACGAAGGGGGGCUAGCGUUGCUCGGAAUCACUGGGCGUAAAGGGUGCGUAGGCGGGUUUUUAAGUCAGGGGUGAAAUCCUGGAGCUCAACUCCAGAACUGCCUUUGAUACUGAAGAUCUUGAGUCCGGGAGAGGUGAGUGGAACUGCGAGUGUAGAGGUGAAAUUCGUAGAUAUUCGCAAGAACACCAGUGGCGAAGGCGGCUCACUGGCCCAGUACUGACGCUGAGGCACGAAAGCGUGGGGGAGC
This 248-nucleotide ribosomal RNA is filed under the name uncultured bacterium. RNAcentral's name for it is "partial 16S ribosomal RNA". It matches the Rfam family "Bacterial small subunit ribosomal RNA", at positions 524 to 769 of the family's 1533-position model. The record is from RNAcentral.